AACGAACGCUGGCGGCAUGCCUAACACAUGCAAGUCGAACGAGACCUUCGGGUCUAGUGGCGCACGGGUGCGUAACGCGUGGGAACCUGCCCUUAGGUUCGGAAUAACUCCCCGAAAGGGGUGCUAAUACUGGAUAAUGUCUUCGGACCAAAGAUUUAUCGCCUUUGGAUGGGCCCGCGUUGGAUUAGCUAGUUGGUAGGGUAAAAGCCUACCAAGGCGACGAUCCAUAGCUGGUCUGAGAGGAUGAUCAGCCACACUGGGACUGAGACACGGCCCAGACUCCUACGGGAGGCAGCAGUGGGGAAUAUUGGACAAUGGGCGAAAGCCUGAUCCAGCAAUGCCGCGUGAGUGAUGAAGGCCUUAGGGUUGUAAAGCUCUUUUACCCGGGAUGAUAAUGACAGUACCGGGAGAAUAAGCUCCGGCUAACUCCGU
Molecule: ribosomal RNA, 432 nt
Filed under: uncultured bacterium
Lineage: Bacteria
Description: partial 16S ribosomal RNA
Rfam family: Bacterial small subunit ribosomal RNA
Source: RNAcentral